RNAcentral lists this ribosomal RNA (510 nucleotides) under uncultured bacterium. RNAcentral's name for it is "partial 16S ribosomal RNA". It matches the Rfam family "Bacterial small subunit ribosomal RNA", at positions 28 to 507 of the family's 1533-position model. The record is from RNAcentral.
GACGAACGCUGGCGGCGUGCUUAACACAUGCAAGUCGAACGAAGAGCGACGGAAGCUUGCUUCUAUCAAUCUUAGUGGCGAACGGGUGAGUAACGCGUAAUCAACCUGCCCUUCAGAGGGGGACAACAGUUGGAAACGACUGCUAAUACCGCAUACGAUCUAACCUCGGCAUCGAGGAUAGAUGAAAGGUGGCCUCUACAUGUAAGCUAUCACUGAAGGAGGGGAUUGCGUCUGAUUAGCUAGUUGGAGGGGUAACGGCCCACCGAGGCGAUGAUCAGUAGCCGGUCUGAGAGGAUGAACGGCCACAUUGGGACUGAGACACGGCCCAGACUCCUACGGGAGGCAGCAGUGGGGAAUCUUCCGCAAUGGACGAAAGUCUGACGGAGCAACGCCGCGUGAGUGAUGACGGCCUUCGGGUUGUAAAGCUCUGUUAAUCGGGACGAAAGGCCUUCUUGCGAAUAGUGAGAAGGAUUGACGGUACCGGAAUAGAAAGCCACGGCUAACUACGUG